ACGCACACAUGCACGCACGACACACACGCACGCCACACACACACACACACGCGCGCGCACACACGCGCGCAUACACACACACGACACACACACACACACAUUGCGCAAGGUCACCUCCAUUACCGAUCUAUUCCCUGCUGGCUGGCUUUCACACACACUGUUGGAUGCAUCAUUUUAACCUACGCAACGUGCUGAAAAUGUUCAGAGUGAAAUUGGUUUACAUAUUUUUUGUCAGUUUGUAUUUUCCCUUUAAGAUGGUCUGCUUUCAGGGUGAAUGUGAAUUAUUACUUGAACUCUGCACUGAGCGAUUCCUCAGCCCCUCCAUAUCAGUGACUGGAGGAGUCCUCCUUGCAACUGGUAUCUGCUCUUUAUUACUCUGUGUAUCCUGUCUGGUUUGCAGACAGACGUAAAUGCACCUGAACCAUAAUGGAGUCACUUUUCAAAAGUGCUAUAUCCUUCAAAGAUGCUCCCUUUUCAUUCAUUUUAUAAAUUGCUGAUUUGGAUUUCUUUUUUUUGCAUUUUUGUUAAAAGACAUCUGUUCCUGUUUAAUAAAACAACUUUCCCCUCUUUCCUGAUCCCUCCCACUUCUGGCUUGAAAGAACAAUUUGAUAAAGACUAAAUUAUUUAAUUUAACUGGAAUUAUCUUUGUUCCAGCCUAAUAAAAUUCAACAGGUGAUUUCCCCUCUUCUCUCCCCUCCCACCCCCCCACCCUUUUCUUGCUUGAGAGCACACUUUGAUCCGGAUUAAAUGAUUACAUGAAACUGGAAUUAAUUGCAAUCUGCUAUCUAUUUCAAUCUGGCGGGUUGUCGGGAUCGCCCGCCUUCCUUGUAUCUGCACACCUCCAUGCCGUGAAGAAUAAUAUCGGUGAUGCCCAAACUCCAGGUUGUACUGGAAACUUGUGGCCAACAAGCUGAAGAUGUCAGUAAUAUUCUUGUAAUUAUUUUCUCACCGUAACUCGUGGACGUUCUCUGCCAUAUCCAGAGUGCACAGUUCUUUGAAUAUCUGCAAGGAUUUUUGUGCUGUGUGUGUUAGACUACUGGCACUGGCCAAGCAGAAAUGUUGUUAUAAGAUUCAGCAAAUGGUAAUCAUCUUGAGAAAUUAUUAUUAUGGGGGAAAAUGGAAAAGUCUAAAACAAGAUUUGGAACAUUAAUUAUGAAUGUAUUUGCUAUAGUCAUAUUCUAAAUUAUAAAGUAGAAUUUCACAUUCCUAUUAUAACUAGUGCUCUUGUCUAGUCCCGUGAAAUUGUAUUUGGGCAAAUGGGCAAUUCAUACAUUUCUUAAACAUGCAAAAAGAUUCUCCCCGUCCAACUUCCCAUGUCUAGAAACACUACUGCAACUUUCUUGGAGGAACAGCGCUGGGUUCAAUCUCUUCCCACUGUAUAGGGCAGGUUUAUAGUGCUCUCAUCACUCCCUGUGUCUCUGUAGUGCGAGUGUGGAUUCCUGCAUCCCUUAUUUUCCCUGCCCCAGUCCUCUGCUGCUUUAAUGUGUACGAAGGAACGGCAGAUGCUGGUUAAAACUGAAGAUAGACACAAAACACUGGAGUAACAGCGGGUCAGGCAGCAUCUCUGGAGAGGAGGAGUGAUGAGAGAUGCUACCUGUCCCACUUUGUUACUCCAGCUUUCUGUGUCUAUCGCUGCUGUUGUAACAUGCUGAGCCUUGUAACAGUAUUCACACCCGACUGUGCUACAUUUACACAACUAGGCUGCUGGUCUGUUUCACUUCACAAUCCCUGCAGUUAGGAAUGGGAAUCAUUUAAAUGUAACUAAAAAAAAAAUAGCUGGGAUGUUCAGGAUUGGGCCGUUACGUUGGAAUUCCUGUAGGCCUUAAUUCAGUCGUAACCUUCAAAAACAUAGCCUCAAUGUAUACGAUAAGAUUUUUAAUAAAAUCACCAUCUGCCCAUGCCUGUAGCAAUACUGCAUUGACCACUUUUCAUUUAAUGACCGCCCCUAUUGUAAAUUGUUCAGGAUUGGGCUGUAACGUUUGAAUUCCUGUACGUCCUAGUUCAGUCGUAACUUUCAAGAACGUAGCUGGGAUGUUCACGAUAAGCUUUGUAUGUAAAAUCUCCCUGUCCCUGUAGUAAUAUUGCAUUGCCCACUGUUCAUUUCCAUUGUAAAUAAAGGGAGAGUUGAUGACCUUGUGUAUCUUGCCUGGAACAUGUGAAAUAGUGUAGCUGACGACGGGCUAGGUGGGAAACCAUUGUUCAGUUUAAACAUAGAUGUCACCAGUCUCUGGACCUCUGCUGUUGCAAAGUUACUUUUGAAGCCACUGCUGUUAACAACUUUCAAAGGGCAUUUUUGUACAAAGUGAUUCUAUGUAAGUCUUUUAUAACUGGGAUCAUUAUUGUUUACAUUGUGAAUAUUUGAGCUGUACAUUUUCUGAAUUUGUAGAUGCAGCCAGUGUGCUCCUGCCUUGGCAUUCGCUUUUCAUUCAUUGGUUUGUAACUGUCAAACUGAUUUUUACACCUUUUUUAAAACCAAUGUACAUUACGUGACUGCAUGUGUCAUAUGGGGGGGGGGGGGGGGGGGUUGCGGGUGAGGGUGCGGGAGAAGCUUCAUUCUUAAUAGUUUUUGUAAGACGGUAACGAGUACCACCGUUUUUUUAAAUCGGGUGGUACGUUUUCAUUAGCCUUAUAUAUUGCCACCGUACCAUAUAAAUGUGACAUUCACAGUAAAGGACAUAUGGCACAAGACAAGACAGUGCCUUCUGAUGAAUUAGGAUUACACCACACUGUUAGCGACGGGUGACGUUGGGGUUUUAUUCCACAGCCUCUGUCGCUAACACUGUUUGGUUCCCAAUUGGGUGAGUUCUCACAUGAAGUUUGAUCAGUCCACCUGGCCAGGGGCAGUGUGUGGCCCUGGGGCCCACUCUUCAUGUUAGACUGUUACUGGAUGCUGUUUCUCAUGAUGGCGAACCCCGCUGUACAAAUGGAUUUUUAUUGCGAGUGUGCUCAGUUGCUUAAUGUGAAGUAAUGCACUGUUGUAUUAAGUACAAUGUUCUUGUUACAAAAUUAAUAAAUUUUUAUUUUGGAGAA
Amblyraja radiata (thorny skate) is the source of this 3030-nucleotide long non-coding RNA. RefSeq lists it as uncharacterized. Lineage: Eukaryota; Metazoa; Chordata; Chondrichthyes; Rajiformes; Rajidae. The transcript is spliced from 2 exons. The record is from RefSeq and is a predicted model, not a curated record.